UCUCCUUACGGAAAGUGUUAACUAUGGCUUGACUGAAGUCGUCCUUCAGCAUAAAGUUGCUGAUCUUGCAAUUUGGUUCAUUGCAGACGGAUACAGCUUCUGUUCUCUUGGAAGCAAUGGAAUACAUACGAUUUCUUUAAGAACAAGUUAAGGUUUUGAGUGCUCCGUAUCUUCAAACCACACAGACAGAUAACAUGCCGGCUAGCAUUAAACCGACCCAGGACAUAGAGCAUUAUAGCCUGAGAAGCCAAGGUUUAUGCCUCGUUCCAAUCUCGUAUACUGUCAAAGUUGCUCGUAGCAAUGGUGCUGAUAUUUGGUCUCUCAUCAAGACCUCAUCACCGAAAUUUGACAAGGGUAUCUCACCAUUCAAUUGACAUAUUUUUCUUCAGUUGCAGCCUAUAGUCUUUGAACUUAACUCGAAUCGGGUUUAAAAGGUAACCGACUUAAUGUUGAAUGCACAAAAUUCCCUAAUCUGAUGCAAAUAUAUAUCUUGAAGCACUAUAAGAUAGGAUGUUUCUUGGCAUAAACUAUUAGGCUUUGCUUGGUAGGAUUCUGUAUCCAUAAACGCAGUAUGGCACCUUCGUAGUUUCAAGCCAGUGCUUGGAUUAAGCUGCAUUUAGUCUUAUUUGAUUACGAUAAUUAAUUUCUCUCUCCUGAUCAUGUUGUGUAAAAUGUAAAUUGAUGAAGAUGAAUUGAAUAACUACUUUUAACUUGUAUUUAUAUGGGAAGCGAAUUACAUGGUGAAUAUUACCU
Molecule: long non-coding RNA, 753 nt
Organism: Hibiscus syriacus
Lineage: Eukaryota; Viridiplantae; Streptophyta; Magnoliopsida; Malvales; Malvaceae
Exons: 4
Source: RefSeq, a predicted model, not a curated record